GGGCGCAUAGCUCACCGGGAGAGCACCUGCCUUACAAGCAGGGGGUCACAGGUUCAAGUCCUGUUGCGCCCACCA
This 75-nucleotide transfer RNA is filed under the name Serpentinicella alkaliphila. RNAcentral describes it as "tRNA-Val". It matches the Rfam family "tRNA". Rfam says of the family: Transfer RNA (tRNA) molecules are approximately 80 nucleotides in length. Their secondary structure includes four short double-helical elements and three loops (D, anti-codon, and T loops). Further hydrogen bonds mediate the characteristic L-shaped molecular structure. tRNAs have two regions of fundamental functional importance: the anti-codon, which is responsible for specific mRNA codon recognition, and the 3' end, to which the tRNAs corresponding amino acid is attached (by aminoacyl-tRNA synthetases). tRNAs cope with the degeneracy of the genetic code in two manners: having more than one tRNA (with a specific anti-codon) for a particular amino acid; and 'wobble' base-pairing, i.e. permitting non-standard base-pairing at the 3rd anti-codon position. The record is from RNAcentral. Lineage: Bacteria; Bacillati; Bacillota; Clostridia; Peptostreptococcales; Natronincolaceae.